CUCUGAAAUAAAUGACGAGUGGGUAGGAGCUAAACGCUCUUUUUAGUCCUGCAAUUUGACGUUUACUUCACGUUCUGAGACUAGCCGUCACAUGUUGGUCAAAAGCGUCGUUUUUUGUAUCGGACGCUUCCUUUGAAGUAGCAGGCUAGCUAGCUGUUCCACAAUGUCGAAUCUUCACAAAUGCAACAUCAGAAGCUUUCCAUUUUUUUCCACGGCUUGUGUGGAAGCUCACCAGGACUUGUCAUACAGUACACUGCAG
Molecule: long non-coding RNA, 259 nt
Filed under: Scleropages formosus (Asian bonytongue)
Lineage: Eukaryota; Metazoa; Chordata; Actinopteri; Osteoglossiformes; Osteoglossidae
Description: lncRNA (ENSSFOG00015030428.1)
Source: RNAcentral